Molecule: ribosomal RNA, 72 nt
Filed under: Mesodinium pulex
Lineage: Eukaryota; Ciliophora; Litostomatea; Cyclotrichida; Mesodiniidae
Description: partial 5.8S ribosomal RNA
Source: RNAcentral
AAGCGCAGCAUGUGUUGGGAAUCGUAGUGCACGUUGAACACUUGGUCUUCGAACGCGAGAGGCACAGUGUCG